GAUGAACGCUGGCGGCGUGCCUAAUACAUGCAAGUCGAGCGAACAGAUAAGGAGCUUGCUCCUUUGACGUUAGCGGCGGACGGGUGAGUAACACGUGGGUAACCUACCUAUAAGACUGGGAUAACUUCGGGAAACCGGAGCUAAUACCGGAUAAUAUUUCGAACCGCAUGGUUCGAUAGUGAAAGAUGGUUUUGCUAUCACUUAUAGAUGGACCCGCGCCGUAUUAGCUAGUUGGUAAGGUAACGGCUUACCAAGGCGACGAUACGUAGCCGACCUGAGAGGGGGAUCGGCCACACUGGAACUGAGACACGGUCCAGACGCCUACGGGAGGCAGCAGUAGGGAAUCUUCCGCAAUGGGCGAAAGCCUGACGGAGCAACGCCGCGUGAGUGAUGAAGGUCUUCGGAUCGUAAAACUCUGUUAUUAGGGAAGAACAUACGUGUAAGUAACUGUGCACGUCUUGACGGUACCUAAUCAGAAAGCCACGGCUAACUACGU
RNAcentral lists this ribosomal RNA (496 nucleotides) under uncultured bacterium. RNAcentral's name for it is "partial 16S ribosomal RNA". It matches the Rfam family "Bacterial small subunit ribosomal RNA", at positions 28 to 506 of the family's 1533-position model. The record is from RNAcentral.